RNAcentral lists this ribosomal RNA (253 nucleotides) under uncultured bacterium. RNAcentral describes it as "partial 16S ribosomal RNA". It matches the Rfam family "Bacterial small subunit ribosomal RNA", at positions 524 to 776 of the family's 1533-position model. The record is from RNAcentral.
UACGAAGGGGGCUAGCGUUGCUCGGAAUUACUGGGCGUAAAGGGUCUGUAGGUGGCCAAUUAAGUCAGACGUGAAAUCCCUCAGCUUAACUGGGGAACUGCGUCUGAGACUGGAUGGCUCGAGUGCAGGAGAGGAAUGCGGAAUUCCAGGUGUAGCGGUGAAAUGCGUAGAUAUCUGGAGGAACACCGGUGGCGAAGGCGGCAUUCUGGACUGCAACUGACACUGAAAGACGAAAGCCAGGGGAGCAAACGGG